Molecule: ribosomal RNA, 497 nt
Filed under: uncultured bacterium
Lineage: Bacteria
Description: partial 16S ribosomal RNA
Rfam family: Bacterial small subunit ribosomal RNA
Source: RNAcentral
GAUGAACGCUGGCGGCGUGCCUAAUACAUGCAAGUCGAGCGAACAGACGAGGAGCUUGCUCCUCUGACGUUAGCGGCGGACGGGUGAGUAACACGUGGAUAACCUACCUAUAAGACUGGGAUAACUUCGGGAAACCGGAGCUAAUACCGGAUAAUAUAUUGAACCGCAUGGUUCAAUAGUGAAAGACGGUUUUGCUGUCACUUAUAGAUGGAUCCGCGCCGCAUUAGCUAGUUGGUAAGGUAACGGCUUACCAAGGCAACGAUGCGUAGCCGACCUGAGAGGGUGACCGGCCACACUGGAACUGAGACACGGUCCAGACUCCUACGGGAGGCAGCAGUAGGGAAUCUUCCGCAAUGGGCGAAAGCCUGACGGAGCAACGCCGCGUGAGUGAUGAAGGUCUUCGGAUCGUAAAACUCUGUUAUUAGGGAAGAACAAAUGUGUAAGUAACUAUGCACGUCUUGACGGUACCCAAUCAGAAAGCCACGGCUAACUACGUG